Non-coding RNA from Pelobates cultripes (western spadefoot toad), 234 nucleotides. NCBI's taxonomy places the organism in Eukaryota, Metazoa, Chordata, Amphibia, Anura, Pelobatidae. The record is from the annotation of a GenBank genome assembly.
CAUACAUGACCUAUAAUGGAGUUUUUAACCGGCACUCUGAUUUACCUCUAGUACUUACUUGAUGAUCAGACUGAGCAGGCAUCUGUUGUUCAUCUGUCUCAGAACCAGGGUACCAAAUCUCUUUUGUCUCCCAUGGCCAUUGGUCUCCCAUAUAAGUACCUCCACAUACAAAGCAGUUAGUUAUAUUAAGACUAUACUCUCAGCCAAAUCAAUACAUAGGUUCUUAACAUUAUG